Molecule: ribosomal RNA, 1223 nt
Filed under: denitrifying bacterium enrichment culture clone NOA_1_C11
Lineage: Bacteria
Description: bacterial SSU rRNA
Rfam family: Bacterial small subunit ribosomal RNA
Source: RNAcentral
GAGUUUGAUCCUGGCUCAGGACGAACGCUGGCGGCGUGCCUAACACAUGCAAGUCAACUUGACGGAAGGAGCAAUCUGACCGUAGAGUGGCGCAAGGGUGCGUAACGCGUAAGUAACUUGCCCCAAGGUAAGGAAUAACGUCGAGAAAUCGGCGCUAAUACCUCAUAAUGCAGCGGAUCCGCAUGGAUAUGUUGUUAAAGGUUUACCGCCUUGGGAUAGGCUUGCGUCUGAUUAGCUAGUUGGUGUGGUAACGGCACACCAAGGCUACGAUCAGUAACUGGUCUGAGAGGAUGAUCAGUCACACUGGAACUGAGACACGGUCCAGACUCCUACGGGAGGCAGCAGUGAGGAAUAUUGGGCAAUGCUCGAAAGAGUGACCCAGCAACGCCGCGUGGAGGAUGAAGGUAUUCUAUAUCGUAAACUCCUGUGAGAGCAGACGAAAGACAGAUUAUUAAUCUGGAUGACUGUAUGCUCAGAGGAAGCCCCGGCUAACUACGUGCCAGCAGCCGCGGUAAUACGUAGGGGGCAAGCGUUGUCCGGAUUCACUGGGUGUAAAGGGCGCGUAGGCGGGAUAGCAAGUCAGUGGUGAAAUCUUGCAGCUCAACUGCAAAACUGCCAUUGAUACUGCUGUUCUUGAAUGUGGAAGAGAGAGGCGGAAUUCCAGGUGUAGUAGUGAAAUACGUAGAUAUCUGGAAGAACACCAAUUGCGAAGGCUGCUUCUUGGUCCAUUAUUGACGCUGAGGCGCGAAAGCGUGGGGAGCAAACAGGAUUAGAUACCCUGGUAGUCCACGCUGUAAACGAUGAGUGCUAGAUGCCGGAUUUUUUCGGUGUCGCAGCUAACGCAUUAAGCACUCCACCUGGGAAGUACGAUCGCAAGGUUGAAACUCAAAGGAAUUGACGGGGGCCCGCACAAGCAGUGGAGCAUGUGGGUUUAAUUCGAUGCAACGCGAAGAACCUUUACCUAGGCUUGAAAAGCUUAUGACCGGCUGUGAAAGCAGCUUUCCCGGCAAGGGCAUAAGUACAGGUGCUGCAUGGCUGUCGUCAGGUUCGUGCCGUGAGGUGUUGGGGUUAAGUCCGCAACGAGCGCAACCGUUACCAUUAGUUGCCACCGGGAGCAUUCGAGCACUCUAUGGAAACUGCCUACGCCAGGUAGUGAGGGAGGGUGAGGAUGACGGUCAGUCGCAUGGCCUUACGCCCUUAGGCUACACACGUGGCUUCAAUGG